AGAGUUUGAUCCUGGCUCAGGAUGAACGCUAGCGGCAGGCCUAACACAUGCAAGUCGAGGGGCAGCGGGAGUGCUUGCACUCGCCGGCGACCGGCGCACGGGUGCGGAACGCGUAUCGAAUCUGCCUCUAUCUGGGGGAUACCCCAUGGAAACGUGGAAUAAUACCCCAUAGUAUUACUUUAUCGCAUGAUUUAGUAAUUAAAGAAUUUCGGAUAGAGAUGACGAUGCGUAUCAUUAGCUAGUAGGUAAGGUAACGGCUUACCUAGGCAACGAUGAUUAGGGGUCCUGAGAGGGAGAUCCCCCACACUGGUACUGAGACACGGACCAGACUCCUACGGGAGGCAGCAGUGAGGAAUAUUGGACAAUGGUCGAAAGACUGAUCCAGCCAUGCCGCGUGCAGGAUGAAUGCCCUAUGGGUUGUAAACUGCUUUUAUACGGGAAGAAAAACACCUACGUGUAGGUGACUGACGGUACCGUAAGAAUAAGGACCGGCUAACUCCGUGCCAGCAGCCGCGGUAAUACGGAGGGUCCAAGCGUUAUCCGGAAUCAUUGGGUUUAAAGGGUCCGUAGGCGGGCUAUUAAGUCAGAGGUGAAAGUUUGCAGCUCAACUGUAAAAUUGCCUUUGAUACUGAUAGUCUUGAAUUGUAGUGAAGUGGUUAGAACAUGUGGUGUAGCGGUGAAAUGCAUAGAUAUCACAUAGAAUACCGAUUGCGAAGGCAGAUCACUAACUAUAUAUUGACGCUGAGGGACGAAAGCGUGGGGAGCGAACGGGAUUAGAUACCCCGGUAGUCCACGCCGUAAACGAUGGAUACUAGCUGUUGGAUUUUUUCAGUGGCUAAGCGAAAGUGAUAAGUAUCCCACCUGGGGAGUACGUUCGCAAGAAUGAAACUCAAGGAAUUGACGG
Molecule: ribosomal RNA, 904 nt
Filed under: uncultured marine bacterium
Lineage: Bacteria
Description: bacterial SSU rRNA
Rfam family: Bacterial small subunit ribosomal RNA
Source: RNAcentral